RNAcentral lists this unclassified non-coding RNA (353 nucleotides) under soil metagenome. RNAcentral describes it as "partial contains 5.8S ribosomal RNA, internal transcribed spacer 2, and large subunit ribosomal RNA". The stretch from base 1 to 120 matches the Rfam family "5.8S ribosomal RNA", at positions 35 to 154 of the family's 154-position model. The record is from RNAcentral.
GAUGAAGAACGUAGCGAAAUGCGAUAAGUAAUGUGAAUUGCAGAAUUCAGUGAAUCAUCGAAUCUUUGAACGCACAUUGCGCCCGCCAGUAUUCUGGCGGGCAUCCCUGUUCGAGCGUCAUUACAACCCUCAGGCCCCCGGGCCUGGCGUUGGGGAUCGGCGGAAGCCCCCUGCGGGCACAACGCCGUCCCCCAAAUACAGUGGCGGUCCCGCCGCAGCUUCCAUUGCGUAGUAGCUAACACCUCGCAACUGGAGAGCGGCGCGGCCACGCCGUAAAACACCCAACUUCUGAAUGUUGACCUCGAAUCAGGUAGGAAUACCCGCUGAACUUAAGCAUAUCAAUAAGCGGAGGA